UGGGGAAUAUUGCGCAAUGGGCGAAAGCCUGACGCAGCGACGCCGCGUGGGGGAUGACGGCCUUCGGGUUGUAAACCUCUUUCAGCAGGGACGAAGCCGUGAGGUGACGGUACCUGCAGAAGAAGCACCGGCCAACUACGUGCCAGCAGCCGCGGUAAUACGUAGGGUGCAAGCGUUGUCCGGAAUUAUUGGGCGUAAAGAGCUCGUAGGCGGUUCGUCGCGUCGGCUGUGAAAACCUGAGGCUCAACCUCAGGCCUGCAGUCGAUACGGGCGGACUUGAGUACUGCAGGGGAGACUGGAAUUCCUGGUGUAGCGGUGAAAUGCGCAGAUAUCAGGAGGAACACCGGUGGCGAAGGCGGGUCUCUGGGCAGUAACUGACGCUGAGGAGCGAAAGCGUGGGGAGCGAACAGGAUUAGAUACCCUGGUAGUCCACGCCGUAAAACGUUGGGCGCUAGGUGUGGGGGCCAUUCCACGGUCUCCGUGCCGCAGCUAACGCAUUAAGCGCCCGCCUGGGGAGUACGGCCGCAAGGCUAAAACUCAAAGGAAUUGACGGGGUCAUAGCUGUUUCCU
RNAcentral lists this ribosomal RNA (570 nucleotides) under uncultured bacterium. Its description in RNAcentral is "partial 16S ribosomal RNA". It matches the Rfam family "Bacterial small subunit ribosomal RNA", at positions 355 to 1375 of the family's 1533-position model. The record is from RNAcentral.